CUGACCAGAGAACCAAGUUCCUCUCUUGUAUGGAUUGUUUCUGUUAAUUAUCACUCAAAUCUGAACGGUGUGGUAGGACGGAGGGAUACCUUGAAAUCUAAGAAAAGGGGAAAAAAGUGCAAUCGCUACAGUGAUACUUUAGCAGAAGUUUCUAUUGCUAAGUAUUGUGGAGCUCAGAGGAAGAAGUAAAGGCUUCAAGACGUUGAACUUUAAGCUGAGUCUUGAAGGCGGAGUCUUCAAGUUAAAGAAGAGGGGUUAAGGAAAGUCCAGGGAGAAGGAACUGCAUGAGCUGUGAAGAACCAUGAUGCAUUCUUGGAAUUGGUAGCAUUCCCUUUGAAAUAUGGAUUGAAACCCAGGAAGCAUGAAAGAAACAAGAAUUCAAAACUUUAAAUUAAGACAAGACUAUGGUAAAGAGUUUGGCAUUGAACAUUCAGGAAAUGUAACAACUAGAACGAGUAUAAA
Molecule: long non-coding RNA, 462 nt
Filed under: Homo sapiens (human)
Lineage: Eukaryota; Metazoa; Chordata; Mammalia; Primates; Hominidae
Description: non-protein coding lnc-FAM181B-3:1
Source: RNAcentral